This is a long non-coding RNA of Parus major (Great Tit), 507 nucleotides long. RefSeq lists it as uncharacterized. The record is from RefSeq and is a predicted model, not a curated record. The transcript has 2 exons. Lineage: Eukaryota; Metazoa; Chordata; Aves; Passeriformes; Paridae.
GCCCGGCCCCCGCGGCUCCCGGCGGCCGCACACGGGGAGCGCUCGGCCAGGAGCUGCAGAACCCUGGACAGGGGCACGGGGGUGUCACGGCAGCGGCCCGGGCCGGAGACAGCCAGGGCUGGACGCCGGGGGCUCAGGCAGGGACACGGGGAGGCAGGACAGGCGGUAACUGGGACGGGCGAACGGCUUAUGCUUCUCCUUGGACUUACUGCUCAAUGCCUUACUAGUUCAGUACAUCAGUAUGAAGCAAGAAAGCACAAGUCAUAAGGCUGACUGCUUAGCUUACAAGAAGCCCUAUCACUAUUUGGAGAAAAAAGAAAACUUGGAGCAUUAUCAGUAAAACAGAGAUUCUACCUGUAUCUUUAAUGCAAUAUUUGCUCUGCAGACCUGCAAAAGCUUACUUUAAAAGAUAACUGUGACCUUUCAUGAACCCAAUCUCAUUUUAGCAGGAGAGUUUCAUGCUUCUCUGUGAGAGCGAGAUGUAUCUAUUAAAUUCCUUUCAAAGAC